Molecule: long non-coding RNA, 662 nt
Organism: Ctenocephalides felis (cat flea)
Lineage: Eukaryota; Metazoa; Arthropoda; Insecta; Siphonaptera; Pulicidae
Exons: 3
Source: RefSeq, a predicted model, not a curated record
GGAACAGUAUGUCAUAUAUGCAUGAACUUGAUUGAUGUAUUGAUGUAUAAUGAACUGAAGAUAGAAUGAAUUCAAUCAGGUUAAAAAAAAUGUAUGUGCAAAAGCGACUCGAAGACGAUUUAGAUUUGUCUCCUGAAUAUAAAACUUCCAAGAAGUACAACAUAUAUGAAUAUCCUGUAUCCUCGCAUUUGAACUGGCGAUAGAAUGAAAUCAGUCAGUGUUAAAAAUGUAUGUGUAAAAGCGACUUUAAGAUGAUGGAUAUUGGUACACUGAACAUAAAACUUCCAAAAUUUGGGGCAGUAUGUCAUAUGUGCAUAAUCUGUAUCCUGGCAUUUGAUGCAAUGAACUGGCAAUAGAAUGAAAUAAUGAAAAAUAGGCAGGCUGUUUGAUGUAUAAGGAAGUGGCGAUAGAAUACUUAUGCAACACUUCACACUUCACGCCCCAAAAAUAGAAUUACGUUCAUUAGAUAUACAACAAUUUUCAUUAAAUAUACUGUUAUUAAUAUGUUAAGAUUGAAUAAUUUGUAAAUAGUUUUCUAGUAUAGUUCAUGUUAAAAUUUUAUAAUUUCUAAACUACAAUUCUAAUUUGUAAUAUUUAAAUAUUGUAAAAUUUCUUAUUAUUCACGUAAAUAAAUGCUUAUUCGUACAGAAAAGAAUAUUAAU